RNAcentral lists this ribosomal RNA (371 nucleotides) under uncultured bacterium. RNAcentral describes it as "bacterial SSU rRNA". It matches the Rfam family "Bacterial small subunit ribosomal RNA", at positions 527 to 896 of the family's 1533-position model. The record is from RNAcentral.
AGAGGUCUCAAGCGUUGUUCGGAUUCAUUGGGCGUAAAGGGUGCGUAGGCGGCGCGGUAAGUCGGGUGUGAAAUCUCGGAGCUUAACUCCGAAACUGCAUUCGAUACUGCCGUGCUUGAGGACUGGAGAGGAGACUGGAAUUUACGGUGUAGCGGUGAAAUGCGUAGAUAUCGUAAGGAAGACCAGUGGCGAAGGCGGGUCUCUGGACAGUUCCUGACGCUGAGGCACGAAGGUCAGGGGAGCAAACGGGAUUAGAUACCCCGGUAGUCCUGACAGUAAACGGUGCACGUUUGGUGUGGGAGGAUUCGACCCCUUCUGCGCCGGAGAUAACGCGUUAAACGUGCCGCCUGGGGAGUACGGUCGCAUUGUUU